Molecule: ribosomal RNA, 405 nt
Filed under: uncultured bacterium
Lineage: Bacteria
Description: partial 16S ribosomal RNA
Rfam family: Bacterial small subunit ribosomal RNA
Source: RNAcentral
GAUGUACGCUGGCGGCGUGCCUACUACAUGCAAGUCGAGCGAAGCGGGGACGGGUGAGUAACACGUGGAUAACCUCCUAUAAGACUGGGAUAACUUCGGGAUAACGGAGCUAAACCGGCAACUUAUAGAUGGAUCCUCCAUGCAUUAGCUAGUUGGUAAGGUGACGGCUUACAAAGGCAACGAUGCAUAGCCGACCUUGGAGGGUGUUCGCCUACGCUGAAACUGAGACACGGUCCAGACUCCUACGGUGUGCAAGAGGAGGGAAUCUUCCGCAACGGGCGAAAGCCUGACGGAGAAACGCCGCGUGAGUGAUGAAGGUCUUCGGAUCGGAAAACUCUGUUAGUAGGGCAGCGGUACCUAUUCAGAAAGCCACGGCUAACUACGUGCCAGCAGCCGCGGUAAUAC